UACGUAGGGUGCAAGCGUUAAUCGGAAUUACUGGGCGUAAAGCGUGCGCAGGCGGUUUUGUAAGUCUGUCGUGAAAUCCCCGGGCUCAACCUGGGGAAUUGCGAUGGAGACUGCAAGGCUAGAAUCUGGCAGAGGGGGGUAGAAUUCCACGUGUAGCAGUGAAAUGCGUAGAGAUGUGGAGGAACACCGAUGGCGAAGGCAGCCCCCUGGGUCA
Molecule: ribosomal RNA, 214 nt
Filed under: uncultured bacterium
Lineage: Bacteria
Description: partial 16S ribosomal RNA
Rfam family: Bacterial small subunit ribosomal RNA
Source: RNAcentral